This 441-nucleotide unclassified non-coding RNA is filed under the name Hevea brasiliensis (rubber tree). The record is from RNAcentral. Lineage: Eukaryota; Viridiplantae; Streptophyta; Magnoliopsida; Malpighiales; Euphorbiaceae.
UGAUUUUGAAACAAAGAAGAAGGGUUCUAUUGAGAGCUUGAGGGAAUACAAAACAUCCAAGUAGAUUCUAGAUGACAUGCGAGGUAUAAAUGGAUCCUUUUCUUUGUUUUAUUUUUUAAAAUGAUAAUAAUAAGGAAUGGGGAGAUACAGGGGAUUGAAUUUCUGCCAUCUUACACAAUGAGACUGGCCUAAUGACAAGUAAAAAAAUUGUAUCUUAUAUUAUUGUUAUUUUUUUAUGGCUUCUGGUGUAGAAUGUAGGUAAAGGCUUCAUGUAGGCUGAUUGCUAGCUGUAUUUUUAACUUAAAGAGGUGAGCACUGAGCAGGCUCUUGGAGUGGUGAUGCUAAAUUUAGUAGUUGAUGUACCGAAUACUAUGGUAUAUAAAAAUUUUUUUUUCCCGUUUUUCUUGCGGGGGAUUCUUAAAAAAAAAAAAAAAAAAAAAA